Molecule: ribosomal RNA, 497 nt
Filed under: uncultured bacterium
Lineage: Bacteria
Description: partial 16S ribosomal RNA
Rfam family: Bacterial small subunit ribosomal RNA
Source: RNAcentral
GACGAACGCUGGCGGCGUGCCUAAUACAUGCAAGUCGAGCGAACAGACGAGGAGCUUGCUCCUCUGACGUUAGCGGCGGACGGGUGAGUCACACGUGGAUAACCUACCUAUAAGACUGGGAUAACUUCGGGAAACCGGAUCUAAUACCGGAUAAUAUAUUGAACCGCAUGGUUCAAUAGUGAAAGACGGUUUUGCGGGCACUAAUAGAUGGAUCCGCGCGGCAUGAGCUAGUUGGUAAGGUAACGGCUUACCAAGGCAACGAUGCGUAGCCGACCUAAGAGAGUGAUAGGCGACCUUGGAGCUGAGACACGGUCCAGACUCCUACGAGAGGCAGCAGAAGGGAAUCUUCCGCAAUGGGCGAGAGCUUGACGGAGCAACGCGGCGUGAGUGAUGAAGGUCUUCGGAUCGGAAAACUCUGUUAUGAGGGAAGAACAAAUGUGUAAGUAACUGUGCACGUAUUGACGGUACCUGGUCAGAAAGCCACGGCUAACUACGUG